RNAcentral lists this ribosomal RNA (254 nucleotides) under uncultured bacterium. RNAcentral's name for it is "partial 16S ribosomal RNA". It matches the Rfam family "Bacterial small subunit ribosomal RNA", at positions 524 to 776 of the family's 1533-position model. The record is from RNAcentral.
UACGUAGGGUGCGAGCGUUGUCCGGAAUUAUUGGGCGUAAAGAGCUCGUAGGCGGUCUGUCGCGUCGGUCGUGAAAACUUGGGGCUUAACCCUGAGCUUGCGGUCGAUACGGGCAUGACUGGAGUUCGGCAGGGGAGACUGGAAUUCCUGGUGUAGCGGUGAAAUGCGCAGAUAUCAGGAAGAACAUCGGUGGCGAAGGCGCUCUGCUGGACCAUAACUGACACUCAGGGACGAAAGCUAGGGGAGCGAAUGGG